RNAcentral lists this ribosomal RNA (274 nucleotides) under uncultured bacterium. RNAcentral's name for it is "partial 16S ribosomal RNA". It matches the Rfam family "Bacterial small subunit ribosomal RNA", at positions 523 to 796 of the family's 1533-position model. The record is from RNAcentral.
AUACGGAGGGUGCAAGCGUUACUCGGAAUCACUGGGCGUAAAGCGCGCGCAGGCGGCUAUUUAAGUUGGAUGUGAAAGCCUAUGGCUCAACCAUAGAACUGCAUCCAAAACUAUUUAGCUAGAGUGUGGGAGAGGAAGAUGGAAUUAGUUGUGUAGGGGUAAAAUCCGUAGAGAUAACUAGGAAUACCAAAAGCGAAGGCAAUCUUCUGGAACACUACUGACACUGAGGCGCGAAAGCGUGGGGAGCAAACAGGAUUAGAUACCCUAGUAGUCC